This is a long non-coding RNA of Lemur catta (Ring-tailed lemur), 1297 nucleotides long. RefSeq lists it as uncharacterized. The transcript has 5 exons. Lineage: Eukaryota; Metazoa; Chordata; Mammalia; Primates; Lemuridae. The record is from RefSeq and is a predicted model, not a curated record.
CCCAGGGAACAAAAGUGGCAGCGGGUACCCCGUGCCCGGCCCCCCUGUGGUCAGGGCCGGCCCCUCUGGGCAGGAAGCCACGAGGCAGAGCUGGCGGCUGCACAGACCCAAGCUGGCUGAAGCCAGCACGGAAUUGGUGGAUCGCAGGGACCCCACCGCUAGCCCCUUAAGCUAAACGUGCAGAGCGGGGCCACAUCUGGACCCCGUGCACACGGAUCUGAGCUGCUGCUUUGGGAAAGAAGACACGUGGACUCGGAGCCCAACCUGACACGGUCACCUGGUCUCCUGCCUGGGGGCGCUCACAGACCUGGCUCUCCCUCCCGCUCCACCUCCGACCAAUUCUGGGCUCUGCCUCCCUGAAGCUGGGCCCAGGGGCCCAGACGUGCACUCCGUGUUCUCAGGCUGGAGGGCCCGAGGUGGGGCCCCCGGCAGCCCCGCGGCCGCGCCUGCUGACUCUCCCUCCUCGCCCAGCGCUUCCGCUGCGGUGUGUGUCCGAACACGCCCGAUGUCCACACAGCUGCCAGGCAGCAACAGUGGGAAGACGGAACGUAGACAUGUAAAAGGACAUGCUCCAAGCCACGCCACGUCCACCCUGCAUGCGGGCACUGCGGUGCCACCAUGGCUGCCCCUGCGCCCCCGAGGCCACUUGGCACAGAACACGUGGUGCACCGAGGCCAGGGGCCCGCCAGUGGGACCCUCGAGGCUCACCGGGGGAGCGUGGCAGGGAAGCAGCUUGAGGGGACAGCAAGGCCCUGGCUGCUGCCCGGGGAGAAAGCCCCGCAGUGGGUCCCAGGGAGGGAGCGAUGAGGGGUUUAGCCAGAGUCCUGGGAGCCUCUGAAACAGAAUCCGAUGAAGAGAAGGAUCCUUUUCCGGGCAGGAAACCUGCUGCAUGUCCAGCCACAUCAACUUCUCGGGCCGCUGCACGCCCUGUCUCCAGGUGGCCCCUUUAGGAUGAACCGAGACCCUGACCUGGGCAGGCCACUCCCCCCCUGCAGACUGUUCUGGCACCAGGUGACGCUCGAACCGUGGCUGUGGUCCCUUCGGCCUCCUCACCAGAGCUCUCUUCCAGCCUGCCUUCCAGGGCACACCAGGGAGGCAGCUGGCCUUGCUCUCCUGCAUGCAGGACUCGUCUGGAACACCAACCCCGUUUUAUUCUUUUGUUGUCUUACUACAACCUUCUAAUGGGCAGAUCACGUGUGAGGCCUGGCGCAUCGCAGACACUCAGUGCGUUGUGAGGAUGAGGGAACGUGAUGAACGAGUCUGUGCACAGGCUUCCUGCAGCCGGGGUGAAGGUGGG